RNAcentral lists this ribosomal RNA (253 nucleotides) under uncultured bacterium. RNAcentral's name for it is "partial 16S ribosomal RNA". It matches the Rfam family "Bacterial small subunit ribosomal RNA", at positions 524 to 776 of the family's 1533-position model. The record is from RNAcentral.
UACGUAGGGGGCUAGCGUUGUCCGGAAUCAUUGGGCGUAAAGAGCGCGUAGGCGGCCAGAUAAGUCCGGUGUGAAAGUCAAAGGCUCAACCUUUGAAUGCCGCUGGAAACUGUCUGGCUAGAGUCCGGGAGGGGCGAGUGGAAUUCCUGGUGUAGCGGUGAAAUGCGCAGAUAUCGGGAAGAACACCCGUGGCGAAGGCGGCUCUCUGGGACGGUACUGACGCUGAGACGCGAAAGCGUGGGGAGCGAACAGG